This 692-nucleotide long non-coding RNA is filed under the name Marmota monax (woodchuck). The record is from RNAcentral. Lineage: Eukaryota; Metazoa; Chordata; Mammalia; Rodentia; Sciuridae.
GAAAUGUUCUCCAUUGAUACUAUCAUGAUUAAGAAAUAAAUAUUGGAGUAAAGAGAUGAUAAGAAGAACCUAAACAAAUGUUUUAUUUUCUUGGUCCCAUUUUCUUUCCUGUUCAGGUGAUCAGAAUUCCUUUCUUCUUUUCCUGCUGUUGCCCACCUAACGCACCCUCCAGUUUAGUCAUUCAUUCUUUACCCUUUUUGGAGGCUACCAUAUGCAAGGCACUGUUCUAGAUGCUAGAGAAAUAGCAGUAUCCAAGACAAAUAAAGAUGCUGCUUUGAUGAAGCUUACAUCCUAGUAUAGUGCUACCCAGUAGAACUUUCUGAGAUGAUAGAAAUAAAUUUCAAUUCAGUAGAACUUUCUGAGAUUAUGAUGAUCGUAUUGUGCUGUCCAAUACGGUAGACACCAGCCACAUGUGGCUACUGAACAUUUGAAAUGUUGGCAAGUGGCCUUUGUAUUGGACAGAUCAAUUCUAGAAGGUGAGAGAUACAGCAAGCUAGUAAACAAUCACAUUGGAGAAGUUUGGAAAAGGAUAGGUGGUACCAAAAAAUUGAACUGAAUAAUGUGAUAGUAACAUGGGGAGGAGGGCAGUAUUAGUUCCAGUGGUCAAGGAAGGGCUUCAUACAAACAACUGAGGUGAGACCAGGUGACAGAAACCAGCCAUAGGAUGAAGUGGGGAGAACAACAUCCUAGCC